UUGUAUCUUGGGAGUCGAUUGCCGAAAUCCGUAAGCACCGUAGCGGGGCAAAUUCGACUUAAGGACAAAGAGUCCAACUCUUGCCUCGACUUUAUCCCUAUCUUUAUACUUAUUUUUGGCGUCUCUAUUCACAAAAUUCUUCCAACAAAAAUAAAUAUCAAAGAUACAUGUGAAAAAAAAAAAAAAAUCAGAAGUAAAAAUUGAUUCUCAACAAUCUAGGGUAAAAUUCUCCAACAAAAAUGACAAAAUUUCAACUCCUCCAUGUCAAUAAAUCUGGUGCUACUUAGCUAGCAGCUGGAGAUGCUCUAGCAUGUGGCGGCGAAGCCAUGGAUGUAAGAGUACUUGGACUGGAGGCAAGAAUAUCGACUGAGGUGCGUCCGGAGAUCCAAAAUCUUCAAACAACGAAAAAUAGUAGAUGGAGGUGCUGUUGGAAGAACGGCGUACUUCCGAUUUACGUGCAGCCAGAAUGGUGAGGUGUGGGUAGAGGUUUUGAAGGUGUCGAUUUUGAUUUCGCCGAAACAUAUUCUGUGGGUGGUGGGUUUUCCAAUUGGGGAAAGCAAUUCUGUUGGGUUUUUUAAGUUUCUAGAAUUUUUUACCUAUUAUUAUUUUAUUUUUUUGAAUGCCACGUAAGCCAGGAACUGCCCUGGAACUGGAUUGUCCGUGUAGCGCGAUUGUUCUCAAAAUCCCAUUUUAGUCCUCUCGAUUGAAGAUUCCAUGGUACAUUUUAGGAAUCAUAGUGUUUGAAUGAAGAUUAUUGACUUCUACAAGAAGACUUUCUUUUUAGGGAGAUGAGCAAAGAGUUAGAAUAUUGAG
Molecule: long non-coding RNA, 813 nt
Filed under: Olea europaea (common olive)
Lineage: Eukaryota; Viridiplantae; Streptophyta; Magnoliopsida; Lamiales; Oleaceae
Description: long non-coding RNA (OEUR_LNC005179)
Source: RNAcentral